RNAcentral lists this ribosomal RNA (495 nucleotides) under uncultured bacterium. Its description in RNAcentral is "partial 16S ribosomal RNA". It matches the Rfam family "Bacterial small subunit ribosomal RNA", at positions 28 to 507 of the family's 1533-position model. The record is from RNAcentral.
GACGAACGCUGGCGGCGUGCCUAAUACAUGCAAGUAGAACGCUGAAGGAGGAGCUUGCUUCUCUGGAUGAGUUGCGAACGGGUGAGUAACGCGUAGGUAACCUGCCUGGUAGCGGGGGAUAACUAUUGGAAACGAUAGCUAAUACCGCAUAAGAGUAGAUGUCGCAUGACAUUUGCUUAAAAGGUGCAAUUGUAUCACUACCAGAUGGACCUGCGUUGUAUUAGCUAGUUGGUGAGGUAACGGCUCACCAAGGCAACGAUACAUAGCCGACCUGAGAGGGUGAUCGGCCACACUGGGACUGAGACACGGCCCAGACUCCUACGGGAGGCAGCAGUAGGGAAUCUUCGGCAAUGGACGGAAGUCUGACCGAGCAACGCCGCGUGAGUGAAGAAGGUUUUCGGAUCGUAAAGCUCUGUUGUAAGAGAAGAACGAGUGUGAGAGUGGAAAGUUCACACUGUGACGGUAUCUUACCAGAAAGGGACGGCUAACUACGUG